CCUACGGGAGGCAGCAGUGGGGAAUAUUGCACAAUGGGGGAAACACUGAUGCAGCGACGCCGCGUGAGCGAGGAAGUACCUCGGUAUGUAAAGCUCUAUCAGCAGGGAAGAAAGUGACAGUACCUGACUAAGAAGCCCCGGCUAACUACGUGCCAGCAGCCGCGGUAAUACGUAGGGGGCAAGCGUUAUCCGGAUUCACUGGGUGUAAAGGGAGCGUAGACGGCCAUGCAAGCCUGGAGUGAAAGCCCGGGGCCCAACCCCGGGACUGCUCUGGGAACUGUGCGGCUGGAGUGCGGGAGGGGCAGGCGGAAUGCGUGGUGUAGCGGUGAAAUGCAUAGAUAUCACGCAGAACUCCGAUUGCGAAGGCAGCAUACCGGCGCUCAACUGACGCUCAUGCACG
RNAcentral lists this ribosomal RNA (400 nucleotides) under uncultured bacterium. Its description in RNAcentral is "bacterial SSU rRNA". It matches the Rfam family "Bacterial small subunit ribosomal RNA", at positions 338 to 755 of the family's 1533-position model. The record is from RNAcentral.